Anas platyrhynchos (mallard) is the source of this 2891-nucleotide long non-coding RNA. RefSeq lists it as uncharacterized. The record is from RefSeq and is a predicted model, not a curated record. NCBI's taxonomy places the organism in Eukaryota, Metazoa, Chordata, Aves, Anseriformes, Anatidae.
AAUACAACUUUUCUUUCCAAAUCCUCUUCCGUCCCUGGAUACCACAAGAACACAUUUCAGCUGCAGUAGGGACAAAGAUAUUUAUUUUGAUUUAUGGUUUUCUAUCUGCUUCCCCUUAGCCACAAGAUGCUGAUCUCCAAGCAGACACGUCAUCUCUGCAUAUCUCUGCUCCCCAGCCAGACAGUGACCUAUUUCAGAAGUCAAACUGAGAUCAAAUGUUACUUUCUGGUUCAUGGGUUCAAAAAAAAAAUGAAUCACAAGAGGACUAGAGGAAAGACAUGUUCAUCCUGCACACUGCUGUGUCCACAGCUCUCAGUCUGCCCUGAAAAAGAUGCAGUUACAACAGACUGAAUCUCUUUACAAACUAAAGUGGAAACUUGGUUUGCUGAACUGCUGGGAUCUAUUGUAAAGUUUAAAAGAGAAGAUUCAAACUGUGUCCAUGGACAUCUUGGCUGACCUCUGGUAUACCACUCUCAAGGAUCACUACUGCAAAAUAUAGCCCAAUUCACUUAGGAUGGGACAUGCCAUCUGUCUUUACUUUCAGCAGUGUAUUUUUUUUCUUCUGCAAAACCAUCUGUCCAGAAGAACAGACUCGCUUUCAAGGGACAGUCAGGACUCACAGCAUAGUCUUUCUUCUCAGCAUGCCACUUUGAAUGAUUGUAAAGGCAAUGAGUGGUUUUAAAGGCAGAGUUUUAUUUUCAAAUUUUGAAAAGUCCCUAGUUUGAAAUACAUUACAAAAAGUGUUCCACAAAGUCAACCUGGAAUAGAUGCUUGCAUACCUCUAUGCCCAACUUCACCUAGGAUGCCAUACUUUCUCUGAGAAGCAGCGCCUGUGGGGCUGCCACUUGCCACCUCUUAUUUCACUGGUCAGUUGAAAUAAGCCAUGACAGAGGGUGCUCCAGGAAUCUCCUCAGCACUCAGAUAUAUACUGACUCAUCACAUCUGUCAGCAGUUGUCUUCCCAGUGAUGCCAACAACAUUAAGGGUUGGAUUCUCCCCCACAUUGCCUGGCUGUUUUCUACCAACUUCCAUCAACAAAUCUACCACCAUGAGUCCCCAGUGUGUCCUUCCUAGCCUUCACACAGGACUUGGCUGCAGUGUGAUGGAGCCAAACAUUCCUCAGUACUGGGAAACUUGUUAAAUAAUGCUUUCUUGAAACUCAGUUGUGUUCACUGUAUUUCCACCAACCCCCCCCCCCCCCCCAAAAAAAAAAAAAACACACAAAAAAACUUGCUCUAUGAACUAUAGAGCAGUAUGGGUCUAGAGUGCAAUAUGGCAAAGGUUAGCUAAGAUAUCAAUUGGUACUUCCCACAAAGGAGGACAGUCGAUCAACCUCGACCCUUAACAUCAACAAUCUACUUCAAAGGCAGUGGCUGGAAGCCUGUGACUGUACUAGUGAGUACAAGCAGAUGUGUGUUUCUGUAAAGACAGGUAAAAAUGCAUCCUGUUUUCAAAAUUAUGGUCACUUUUAACAGGAUAAACAUGGGAUCAUUUAGGUGAAUGUCUAGUUGGAUGGGAGUGUGGGAGAAGAACCCAGUCUUUAGUAAAAUACAGUGUAAACAGCAUCCAGACUUGUGGGACUCAAGAGGCAUAGUACCUUCUCAAUGUAUCUGAAGCAGUUCCCCAAAGCUGGUAUGAAUUUGCGCUGUUUGACCAGGAACUUCAUCAAGUUCAUUCCAAAGAUCCUGUGAGGCCUUCUAAACAGUGACACAGGCACAAUGAGGAGACAAGGGAAUCAUAGCACAAGAACAUGAAAAGCCAAUGAGGUCACUGGAGUAAGGGAAGAUACUUCCCAAGCAACGUCCUUUGCCGGAGCUGGAUGUGUGUAUCAUGUAAUGAUAUUUAACAUUGCUUGGAUCACAAUCAGUCAGUCAAAGUAAUGUAAAUCAUGGUAUUCUUUAUGGUGCUGAACAUCUGCUUAUUGUGGCAUUGUGAUGAAGAAUCCCAAAACUCAUUUCAUAAUAAGCAAUGUGAGUGCUUUUAGAUGAUAAUGUAACUUAGUUUCCAUUGACCAAAGCUGGUUUUCAUUCUCAUUUUGAAUAUCAAAACUAAUUUAAACCUAAACUUAAUUUCCACAUUAGGUUAAAUGCAUCUGAAAAUAAAAUGUGGCAAAAUGAGCAAAACUCUUGGGCAGAACAGUAUUAUGAAGAAAUAUGAAAGAAAAAUUUGUCUACUGGGAGACAUGAAUUAUGAAAAAUGAAAUAUCUUUCCAGGUACUCUAUCAAUAUCCUCCACAUGGUAACACAGGUUUGACAGUGUCAAAUUAAUGACAGUGUCAUUAUCAGUGCUAUGAUCUGUGUUAAUAAAAAAAAAAGUUUAAUUUAACGAGGGUUUAGCUCUUCCACUAGCACUAGGACCUUCAGUUGCUGGUGAUCACUGUACAAACUUGUGCACACGUGCAUGUGAUGUAUAUUUGUUUUUUGAUUAACUACAUUAUAAAGGAUUUAGCUAUUAUGAGUGUGUUAUCUGUUGUACUGUAUAAUAUUUAAACAAAAAUUAAACAAAACCUAGGCUCAAUGCCAAAAAUAAGGAAUCAUUCUUUCAAAUAAAACUGAGGUAAAGAAGGUUGCAGAACUGCCACUCCAAGAUUAUUUUUCUUUAUUGUGUGAUGUAUUUUCCCUCCUAAUGGAAAAGUCAGAUGAAUAAGCAGUGAAUUAAACUUAGGUGCACCAGAAUUUCAGUUCAGCAUCUGCAAGUAUUGUGUGUACACUGGCACUUUGUGAUUUCCAGCACAUGAAUCUAUCUCUCUCUAUUUUGCAAAAGUGGACCAAUAAUUCAUGUUUCUCCAUUUUCCUUAGGACUAUGGCCAUCUUCAGACCAUGGCCAUCAGACCACUGACAUUUUGCUGUGGGAAAGAGUUCCAUUAAUACAGAUUUUCAAGUGAGCACUCUG